AUGAUUGCUGAGAGCAGAAUUGAGCAAGAAGAGCAACAGUGUGUAUGGUUGCAGAUAGGAGAUUUCAGUGGAAAGCAGGGAAAGGUUAGGGGGCACUCCUCUCCUUUUCUUUGCAGGACACCCCCCCCUUUAGCACCUUCUUUUAAAGGUGGUGGUGGUGGAGGUGGUUGCGAGAGGGGAAGGGGGUGGGGGUUUAACCCUUCUUCUUCUUCUUCACUUGGUUGCUUCCGGCUACGCGUGGGGGUACGUCUCGUCAUCUCUCCUAAGAAUCUAUGUCUGGUGCCAAAACCGGUGGGGUAG
This 300-nucleotide ribosomal RNA is filed under the name Triticum aestivum (bread wheat). Its description in RNAcentral is "partial small subunit ribosomal RNA". Lineage: Eukaryota; Viridiplantae; Streptophyta; Magnoliopsida; Poales; Poaceae. The record is from RNAcentral.